UCAUAAUUCCCAAAAACAUUAUAUAUAAUAAAAGGCUAAUAUGCAAAUUGUCUCUGAGAGUUUGACCAACCUGGAGUUCGACUGCUUGCAAUGACAUGCUCUGUCCACCAGGUGGCAGUGCAAAAUGA
This is a long non-coding RNA of Pipistrellus kuhlii (Kuhl's pipistrelle), 128 nucleotides long. RefSeq lists it as uncharacterized. The record is from RefSeq and is a predicted model, not a curated record. Lineage: Eukaryota; Metazoa; Chordata; Mammalia; Chiroptera; Vespertilionidae. The transcript has 4 exons.